UAGGAUGUUAGCAAUGUACAGAAAUCUAUGUAUUUGUCAGAGCCGUGGGUACACUCACAGGUUGUUCCACUUCAUAGGUUUUGACUGCCUUUGUUAAAUCAGCUCUGACAUGGCACAGCUGUGGGGUCUUGGUCACAGCUGAAGAACCUUGUCAGGAGGUCUCACUUGGUAUCUAACUAUUUUCAGGCCCUUGCCUUGCAUUCUUACUGCAUCUAGCUCUUGCACUUUGUUGAUCUUGAUCCUGACCCACUGGUGUCCUGACUGAGGGCUUCACCCUGGGCCUGGUGAUCUUUGAGCUGAGGUUGUUCUCCUCAUCAGCCUUGCCCAGCUCUCUUCAUUGGGCACAGCUGGAUGGUGUUCCAUCAAUAUGAGUCUGCCAUGUAUGCCUGGACAUCACAAACAUCCACUGGUUUGACUCUCUUUGUGGAGCAGCCCCCUCACUCUGCUCUCUGUAUCGGCUUUGAAAAACUUGCAGCUGGACAAUAUUUGCAUAUCUGGAAUGUUGGGUUUUUGGUCAAGAUAUAAGAAAGAGUAUGCGCAAUAUACCCCAACUUAUCCCAGCUUGGACAACAUGUUGACUGUCAAGAACAUAGAAGUGCUGAUUGAAAUCUGUGUUUUGUUGGAUCCAGGCCAGCAACUUGAACCUGAGUUGCUAUGCAGCUCCUUUGUGUCCUCAGUGCUCAUAUACUCCUUUAUAAGAAAAUGGUCCACUUGGCAAGGCAAACAUUGUGCCAGAAAAUGGAUGAUUAAUUCCACAAGUAAAAGAUUAAGGUGCUUGUUUGUGAUUUUGAUUAAGGAAUUCCAGCUUUAAAUUGUGCUGUAAUGUUUGUCUAAAAGAGAACAGUUACAACAGAAGGACACAUGGUAAACACAGACAAACCCAAGGACUGCAGCAUCAGCCUGCGAUGCUGGGACCUGGAAAGUAACUGUUUGAAUCUCAUUUCUCAAACAGAUAGAUGAAGGAGUCAGCACACAACUGGAAAUAGAAUUAUUACUUUUUCUUUUUUUUUCCUGGAAAUCCCAGCUCAUUCCUGUUUGUAUAAAGAACUGC
This 1051-nucleotide long non-coding RNA is filed under the name Anas platyrhynchos platyrhynchos (common mallard). Its description in RNAcentral is "lncRNA (ENSAPLG00000018351.1)". The record is from RNAcentral. Lineage: Eukaryota; Metazoa; Chordata; Aves; Anseriformes; Anatidae.